This 301-nucleotide ribosomal RNA is filed under the name uncultured bacterium. Its description in RNAcentral is "partial 16S ribosomal RNA". It matches the Rfam family "Bacterial small subunit ribosomal RNA", at positions 509 to 807 of the family's 1533-position model. The record is from RNAcentral.
CAGUCGCCACGGUAAAACAGAGGGUGCGAGCGUUAAUCGGAUUUACUGGGCGUAAAGCGUGCGUAGGCGGCUAAUUGAGUCGGAUGUGAAAUCCCCGAGCUUAACUUGGGAAUUGCAUUCGAUACUGGUUAGCUAGAGUGUGGGAGAGGAUGGUAGAAUUCCAGGUGUAGCGGUGAAAUGCGUAGAGAUCUGGAGGAAUACCGAUGGCGAAGGCAGCCAUCUGGCCUAACACUGACGCUGAGGUACGAAAGCAUGGGGAGCAAACAGGAUUAGAUACCCCCGUAGUCCCUGUCUCUUAUAC